This 1506-nucleotide ribosomal RNA is filed under the name human gut metagenome. RNAcentral's name for it is "bacterial LSU rRNA". It matches the Rfam family "Bacterial large subunit ribosomal RNA", at positions 1447 to 2925 of the family's 2925-position model. The record is from RNAcentral.
GCCGUAGUAGGUCAGCGCAGGGGUGACACGGAAUGGGAGCCGGCCGCGGAGGUGGUUUUCCGUGGUCAAGCACGCAGCCAGUCAUGUAGGCAAAUCCGCAUGGCGCGCAUGGCGAGGUGUGAUGAUGGGAGCCGUUAUGGCUCGAUAUCCGGUUGUCCAGGCCGUCGAGAAAAGCCUCGGCGUGAGGGCCAUGGCCGCCCGUACCCCAAACCGACACUGGUGGUCAGGUAGAGAAUACCAAGGCGAUCGAGCGAAUCCUGGUCAAGGAACUCGGCAAAUCACUCCCGUGCCUUCGGUAUAAGGGAGACCCGCUGGGGUGAACCGGCUAGCCCGGGGAGCUUUGGUGGGUGGCACAGACCAGGGGGUAGCGACUGUUUACCAAAAACACAGGUGCAUGCGAAGGCGCAAGCCGCUGUAUAUGCACUGACGCCUGCCCGGUGCCGGAAGGUUAAGAGGAUCCGUCAGUCCCUUUUGGGGUGAAGCGGUGAAUUCAAGCCCCGGUAAACGGCGGUGGUAACUAUAACCAUCCUAAGGUAGCGAAAUUCCUUGUCGGGUAAGUUCCGACCUGCACGAAUGGCGUAACGACUUCCCCACUGUCUCGACCAGGAGCUCGGCGAAAUUGCAGUACGAGUAAAGAUGCUCGUUAAGCGCAGAAGGACGAAAAGACCCCGGGACCUUUACUAUACCUUGGUAUUGGCAUUCGGUGUGGAUUGUGUAGCAUAGGCGGGAGGCCGAGAGGCGCGGUCGCCAGAUCGCGCGGAGCCGUAAGGUGAAAUACCGCUCUGUUCGCAUUGGAUGUCUAACCUCGAACAGUCAUCCUGUUCAGGGACAGUGCCUGGCGGGUAGUUUAACUGGGGCGGUUGCCUCCCAAAGAGUAACGGAGGCGCCCAAAGGUCCGCUCAGCCCGGUUGGCAAUCGGGUGGCGAGUGCAAGUGCACAAGCGGGCUUGACUGCGAGGACGACGGUCCGAGCAGGGACGAAAGUCGGGACUAGUGAUCCGGUGCCGGUGUACGGACGCGGCAUCGCUCAACGGAUAAAAGGUACUCCGGGGAUAACAGGCUGAUCAUUCCCAAGAGCUCAUAUCGACGGAAUGGUUUGGCACCUCGAUGUCGGCUCGUCGCAUCCUGGGGCUGGAGCAGGUCCCAAGGGUUCGGCUGUUCGCCGAUUAAAGCGGCACGCGAGCUGGGUUCAGAACGUCGUGAGACAGUUUGGUCUCUAUCCUCUGCGCUCGUUGGAAUGCUGAGGAGGCCUGCCCAUAGUACGAGAGGACCUGGGUGGACGAACCUCUGGUAUGCCGGUUGUCACGCCAGUGGCACGGCCGGUUGGCUACGUUCGGAAGGGAUAACCGCUGAAAGCAUCUAAGCGGGAAGCCUGCUCCAAGAUAAGCAUUCCGUGGAACCUUCGAGUUCCUGUAGUCCCCAUGCAGAACACGUGGUCGAUAGGCCGGACGUGGAAGCCCCGCGAGGGGUGGAGCGACCGGUACUAACGGACGAAAGGCAACACCAA